This 490-nucleotide ribosomal RNA is filed under the name uncultured bacterium. Its description in RNAcentral is "partial 16S ribosomal RNA". It matches the Rfam family "Bacterial small subunit ribosomal RNA", at positions 30 to 507 of the family's 1533-position model. The record is from RNAcentral.
AUUGAACGCUGGCGGCAGGCCUAACACAUGCAAGUCGAACGGUAACAGAAAGCAGCUUGCUGCUUUGCUGACGAGUGGCGGACGGGUGAGUAAUGUCUGGGAAACUGCCUGAUGGAGGGGGAUAACUACUGGAAACGGUAGCUAAUACCGCAUAACGUCGCAAGACCAAGGAGGGGGACCUUCGGGCCUCUUGCCAUCGGAUGUGCCCAGAUGGGAUUAGCUAGUAGGUGGGGUAACGGCUCACCUAGGCGACGAUCCCUAGCUGGUCUGAGAGGAUGACCAGCCACACUGGAACUGAGACACGGUCCAGACUCCUACGGGAGGCAGCAGUGGGGAAUAUUGCACAAUGGGCGCAAGCCUGAUGCAGCCAUGCCGCGUGUAUGAAGAAGGCCUUCGGGUUGUAAAGUACUUUCAGCGGGGAGGAAGGGAGUAAAGUUAAUACCUUUGCUCAUUGACGUUACCCGCAGAAGAAGCACCGGCUAACUCCGUG